RNAcentral lists this unclassified non-coding RNA (299 nucleotides) under plant metagenome. RNAcentral describes it as "partial contains small subunit ribosomal RNA, internal transcribed spacer 1, and 5.8S ribosomal RNA". The record is from RNAcentral.
UUUCCGUAGGUGAACCUGCGGAAGGAUCAUUAUCGAAUUUCGAGGGGAAGGAAGAUGAGGAGUGGAGACUGUCGCUGGCUUCCCCGCCUGGGAAGCAUGUGCACGCCUUGCUUUUCGUUGACCUUUCUCUUACUCUCACACCUGUGCACCCAUUGUAGGUCCUCGAAAGAGGAUCUAUGUUUUUAUCAUCACACGCAUCGUAUGUCCAUAGAAUGUAACAUGAUCGUCGAUCGACCUCGCGGUCGGGUGGCGGUCUAAAUAAAUAAAUACAACUUUCAGCAACGGAUCUCUUGGCUCUC